GGGGUUGUGGCUCAGUGGUAGAGCACUCGCCUGGCAUGCAUGAGGCACUGGGUUUGAUCCUCAGCACCA
Molecule: transfer RNA, 69 nt
Filed under: Ictidomys tridecemlineatus (thirteen-lined ground squirrel)
Lineage: Eukaryota; Metazoa; Chordata; Mammalia; Rodentia; Sciuridae
Description: Spermophilus tridecemlineatus (thirteen-lined ground squirrel) tRNA
Rfam family: tRNA
About the family: Transfer RNA (tRNA) molecules are approximately 80 nucleotides in length. Their secondary structure includes four short double-helical elements and three loops (D, anti-codon, and T loops).
Source: Rfam by way of RNAcentral